Mesocricetus auratus (golden hamster) is the source of this 565-nucleotide long non-coding RNA. RefSeq lists it as uncharacterized. The record is from RefSeq and is a predicted model, not a curated record. NCBI's taxonomy places the organism in Eukaryota, Metazoa, Chordata, Mammalia, Rodentia, Cricetidae. The transcript is spliced from 4 exons.
AGCGUCUCAUUAAACUUUCAGGUCUUUUCUGAGCCGUGGGAGAAAAGCGGUGUUCCCGUAAACACAUAUUUUCCUCAUUAUGAGUGAGAUUAAGGACACUCCCGUACAGAUCCAGCCAUUUCUUUUCUUUCUCUAGGACCAGAGCUCAGUUGCCAGCACUAAUACCAGGCAUCUCACAACUGCCUGUAACUCCACCUGCAGGACAUCGGGCACUGUGGCGGUUUAAAUCUGGAUGUGGAACUCUCAGCUCCUCCAGCAUCGCAUCUGCCAUGCCCUCCUCCAUGAUGGUAAUGGACUGGACCUCUGAAACUCUACAAAUAUGGAGACGGAGUCGGAGACAGGGCUCAGCGGUUAAGAGCACUGGCUGCUCCGGCAGAGCACUUGGGUUCGACUCCCGGAAGCCACGCGAUGCUCACAAGCAACCGUUAACUCCGGUCCCCGGGAUCCGACGGCCUCUCCCGACCUCCGCGGGUACCGCACGCACGGAGUGCACGGACAGACACUCAGGCGAGACGCAAACGCACAGCAAACUUGAGCUUUAAAAACAAAAAAAAAACACGACGCA